AGACAACAAAGGAAACUCUCCGAGGACC
RNAcentral lists this non-coding RNA (28 nucleotides) under Cricetulus griseus (Chinese hamster). The record is from RNAcentral. Lineage: Eukaryota; Metazoa; Chordata; Mammalia; Rodentia; Cricetidae.